GAACAGACCUCCGGAACGAAUUAAGUUCGUAACCAGAGGAACCACUGUAAUAAUAAUAAUAAAAUUUAUACUAUACUAUACUAUACUAUACUAUACUAUACUAUACAGUGGUACCUCGGGUUAAGAACUUAAUUCGUUCUGGAGGUCCGUUC
This is a non-coding RNA of Podarcis lilfordi (Lilford's wall lizard), 152 nucleotides long. NCBI's taxonomy places the organism in Eukaryota, Metazoa, Chordata, Lepidosauria, Squamata, Lacertidae. The record is from the annotation of a GenBank genome assembly.